GGUGAAACCGCAAAAGGCUCAUUAAAUCAGUUAUGGUUCCUUGGAUCUUAAACAGUUACUUGGAUAACUGUGGUAAUUCUAGAGCUAAUACAUGCAAACAAGUCCCGACCAGAGAUGGAAGGGACGCUUUUAUUAGAUCAAAACCGAUCGGCGUCCGGCUCCGGCCGGCGCCGUCUCUUUUGGUGACUCUGGAUAACUUUUAGCUGAUCGCACGGUCACAGUACCGGCGACGCAUCUUUCAAAUGUCUGACUUAUCAACUGUCGAUGGUAGGCUCUGCGCCUACCAUGGUUGUAACGGGUAACGGGGAAUCAGGGUUCGAUUCCGGAGAGGGAGCCUGAGAAACGGCUACCACAUCCAAGGAAGGCAGCAGGCGCGCAAAUUACCCACUCCCGGCACGGGGAGGUAGUGACGAAAAAUAACGAUACGGGACUCAUCCGAGGCCCCGUAAUCGGAAUGAGUACACUUUAAAUACUUUAACGAGUACCAAUUGGAGGGCAAGUCUGGUGCCAGCAGCCGCGGUAAUUCCAGCUCCAAUAGCGUAUAUUAAAGUUGUUGCGGUUAAAAAGCUCGUAGUUGGAUCUGUGUGCCACGCUGUCGGUUCACCGCCCGUCGGUGUCAACUGGCAUGUCUGUGGGACGUCCUGCCGGUGGCGGUACGGGCUGUCGGCGCUGCGUAGGGGUUCGCCCCCGAAGCACGUCGGCGUGUCCCGGUCCGCCGAUUCAAUCCCGCCGCGGUGCUCUUCACUGAGUGUCGAGGUGGGCCGGCACGUUUACUUUGAACAAAUUAGAGUGCUCAAAUCAGGUCGUA
RNAcentral lists this ribosomal RNA (808 nucleotides) under Magicicada septendecim (seventeen-year cicada). Its description in RNAcentral is "SSU rRNA". It matches the Rfam family "Eukaryotic small subunit ribosomal RNA", at positions 80 to 789 of the family's 1831-position model. RNAcentral also lists the same sequence under 2 other names. Lineage: Eukaryota; Metazoa; Arthropoda; Insecta; Hemiptera; Cicadidae. The record is from RNAcentral.